Long non-coding RNA from Hipposideros armiger (great roundleaf bat), 484 nucleotides. RefSeq lists it as uncharacterized. The transcript is spliced from 4 exons. NCBI's taxonomy places the organism in Eukaryota, Metazoa, Chordata, Mammalia, Chiroptera, Hipposideridae. The record is from RefSeq and is a predicted model, not a curated record.
GAGCAGCACCGCCCCUCACCCGAUCUACCGCGGUUUUUGGCUGCGUUCAGCCUUCCGGCCCCUUGAGGAGGGCGUGUGCUGUUGAAGAGAGGCCACGCUGUGGCGAGAGGUGCUCCUGGAUAUGCCCCACGGCGGUAAUUCUCGCCGCCAGAAGUGGGAGAGGAGUCUGAAGCUAACUGCUGCCAGUGUUUUACACCAACGUCUGCCACAGUGUCUGGGCACGGAGUACCUGUGUAGGAAAUAGUGCAUGAAUGCUAUUUAAAAUACUGAACCAGCGUGGUUUCUUGUUCCGUGAAUUGUUUUUCCUGCUGUGUCAUGGAACUAGCCAUAUGUGUAUUCAAGAUGAAUGUCUUCUGAAAUGGAUGCCUUGGCAAUCAAAAGCCUAAUGCCAGGGUCAAGAAUCUGGGAAUGAGGCCGGCCGAGUGGAGUGUUGGUUAAGAGCUGGUUUGGGAUGCCAGCUCUGAGCAGCAGGGCUCCUGUUCGG